RNAcentral lists this transfer RNA (74 nucleotides) under Natronocytophaga cellulosiphila. Its description in RNAcentral is "Cytophagaceae bacterium ABcell3 tRNA-Pro". It matches the Rfam family "tRNA". From Rfam's summary of the family: Transfer RNA (tRNA) molecules are approximately 80 nucleotides in length. Their secondary structure includes four short double-helical elements and three loops (D, anti-codon, and T loops). The record is from RNAcentral. Lineage: Bacteria; Pseudomonadati; Bacteroidota; Cytophagia; Cytophagales; Cytophagaceae.
CGGGGUGUAGCGUAGCCCGGUAGCGCGCUUGCAUGGGGUGCAAGAGGUCGCAGGUUCAAAUCCUGCCACUCCGA